Molecule: long non-coding RNA, 334 nt
Organism: Folsomia candida
Lineage: Eukaryota; Metazoa; Arthropoda; Collembola; Entomobryomorpha; Isotomidae
Exons: 2
Source: RefSeq, a predicted model, not a curated record
AGAGAUUUUCGUGCGAUUUCCAUGAGAGACUUGGGGUUUUUCAAUCGUUGUUGAAUAUCUUUUCUGAAGGAACUUUUGAGGCGCUGAAGUUGUGGAUUAAGGCGAUUCAGAUCUUCCGUCGCACCACCGUCUAUUAGCAGUGGCUCAAUGGAGAAAUUCCAAGUCGAUCAACCGUAUUGACGUUGGCAUUGGCUUGAAUAAGAAUGCGAAGGGAUUCGAUGUCCGACAUAAGGCAGGCAAGCUACAGGAAUAACAACAUGUUAUUUGUUUUCCUCUGAUCACUCGUAAAUUUUAAGGAAGGAUUAAAAAAAUAAAAUAGGAACAUUUACAUGCA